This 647-nucleotide long non-coding RNA is filed under the name Phoenix dactylifera (date palm). RNAcentral describes it as "long non-coding RNA (PDAC_LNC019542)". The record is from RNAcentral. Lineage: Eukaryota; Viridiplantae; Streptophyta; Magnoliopsida; Arecales; Arecaceae.
AUUUCUUUUUAAUAUUACUUAAAAAAAAAUAGUACUUCAAAUAUUCAAUCAAAUUAUCCAAGCAUGGAGCAUUACACAAUAUUGAGAGUCCGUAAUUUAAAGCAUCAUGCCACAUGCAAAACAUAUUACGUGUUAAGUCAUGCAUUAAAAUAUUAAGAAUAAGCAUGUCAAGGAUCAAAAUCAAUUCUUUUUCAAAUACACUCCCCCUAUUUAAAUAUAAUCUUGCAUUGAUUUCAUCCUUAAGGUGUGUUUCCAAGUGAUUAAAGCUUGACUUGAUGCUUCUUAUAUACUUUCAUUUACUUUAUCAUUCAUUUUUACUUUCUUAUGCUCUAUUCUCUAUUUGCUCCCUAUCCGGUGGAGUUGGAAGGGGCACGAGGUACUACCACUAGCCUCCCUCUUGUGCCGUCCCUAAUAUGCCCUACACCGAAUAGUUGGGUCAAAUAGUGCCGGGUACUACCACUAGCCUUCCCAUUGGCACCAUCCCUAUGAUGAGCAGUAUAGAAAGGUUCAAAUGUUCACUUCAAACUUUCCCUGUUUAAGUGUAAUUAAUUAUAGAUUUUAUCCCUUCCAAAAGUGCUGAAUAUAUUAUGCUUGUUUUUCUUUUCCUUAAGAUUGGAGUAUUUGCCUUUGCUUAGAUUUUACAUCUC